Molecule: long non-coding RNA, 625 nt
Filed under: Pan troglodytes (chimpanzee)
Lineage: Eukaryota; Metazoa; Chordata; Mammalia; Primates; Hominidae
Description: lncRNA (ENSPTRG00000053024.1)
Source: RNAcentral
CUUUAUUCUAUAUUCCCCAGAGUGAAGUGCUGUGAUUGGUUUGCAGUCUACUAAGAUCAGCCCUUUUAUAUCUACAUGAAAGUGAAUCUGUGUAAGAGAAAACAUUAUCUGCUGCAUGUUAUCAUAACUCCAGCAAUGAAGCAGAUCCUGAAACAUUUAUUUACAUGGACAUCCUGGAGAGCUUCUUCUAGGGUUCUGUCCAGCGUAUCUCUGCAGUGCCAAAUGACCCAGGAGUCCUGGCAAAGACAGUCUUCAGGCUUUGGCAAUGGAGGGUUGGCCUACGUUUUCUCAACUGCCCAAAUAUUUUGACUUUCAAUCUCAGCAGGCAUCUCCUUCUCUUCCAUAGCAACAGUACAUUUGGGGGAUUAUUGUGUUUUUUUUUCCCUUCUACCUCCUGUGGGAGAAUAACACUAAUUCUAAGCUGGGAUAAAUGGCUAGAAUUCAGUAUGGCUCUGUUAGACUCUAUUUCUAGAGUAGAGUUAGACACAAUACUCAAAGACAGGCCUUCUUUUGGAGUCCUAGGGAAAAACAUAACCAAAUUAAAUAAAAUGUCAAUUUCUGGCUUGUAUUUUCUUUUCCAGUUGUGAUGUAUGUUAAAAUGAUAUUUUCCCUUUAAGAAAUGAAC